RNAcentral lists this ribosomal RNA (433 nucleotides) under uncultured bacterium. RNAcentral's name for it is "partial 16S ribosomal RNA". It matches the Rfam family "Bacterial small subunit ribosomal RNA", at positions 29 to 507 of the family's 1533-position model. The record is from RNAcentral.
AGCGAACGCUGGCGGCAGGCCUAACACAUGCAAGUCGAACGAACUCUUCGGAGUUAGUGGCGGACGGGUGAGUAACACGUGGGAACGUGCCUUUUGGUUCGGAAUAACUCAGGGAAACUUGUGCUAAUACCGAAUGUGCCCUUCGGGGGAAAGAUUUAUCGCCAUUAGAGCGGCCCGCGUCUGAUUAGCUAGUUGGUGAGGUAACGGCUCACCAAGGCGACGAUCAGUAGCUGGUCUGAGAGGAUGACCAGCCACACUGGGACUGAGACACGGCCCAGACUCCUACGGGAGGCAGCAGUGGGGAAUCUUGCGCAAUGGGCGAAAGCCUGACGCAGCCAUGCCGCGUGAAUGAUGAAGGUCUUAGGAUUGUAAAAUUCUUUCACCGGGGACGACAAUGACGGUACCCGGAGAAGAAGCCCUGGCUAACUUCGUG